GACGAACGCUGGCGGCGUGCUUAACACAUGCAAGUCGAACGGAAAGGCCCUGCUUUUGUGGGGUGCUCGAGUGGCGAACGGGUGAGUAACACGUGAGUAACCUGCCCUUGACUUUGGGAUAACUUCAGGAAACUGGGGCUAAUACCGGAUAGGAGCUCCUGCUGCAUGGUGGGGGUUGGAAAGUUUCGGCGGUUGGGGAUGGACUCGCGGCUUAUCAGCUUGUUGGUGGGGUAGUGGCUUACCAAGGCUUUGACGGGUAGCCGGCCUGAGAGGGUGACCGGCCACAUUGGGACUGAGGUACGGCCCAGACUCCGACGGGAGGCAGCAGUGGGGAAUAUUGCACAAUGGGCGGAAGCCUGAUGCAGCAACGCCGCGUGCGGGAUGACGGCCUUCUGGUUGUAAACCGCUUUCGCCUGUGACGAAGCGUGAGUGACGGUAAUGGGUAAAGAAGCACCGGCUAACUACGUG
Molecule: ribosomal RNA, 468 nt
Filed under: uncultured bacterium
Lineage: Bacteria
Description: partial 16S ribosomal RNA
Rfam family: Bacterial small subunit ribosomal RNA
Source: RNAcentral